Small nuclear RNA from Rhipicephalus microplus (southern cattle tick), 108 nucleotides. The record is from RefSeq and is a predicted model, not a curated record. NCBI's taxonomy places the organism in Eukaryota, Metazoa, Arthropoda, Arachnida, Ixodida, Ixodidae.
GUUUUCUAAACAGUAAGUGCGCCUACUGAAAUUGGAACGAUACAAAGGAUAUUAGCAUGGCUCCUGCACAAAAAUGACAAGCAAAAUCGUGCAGCGUUCCAAAUUUCU